AUAUUGUGCAAUGGAGGGAACUCUGACGCAGCGACGCCGCGUGAGCGAUGCAGGUUUUCGGAUCGUAAAGCUCUGUCCUUGGUGACGAAGGUCUUCGGACUUGACGGUACCUAGGGUGGAAGCCCCGGCUUACUACGUGCCAGCAGCCGCGGUAAUACGUAGGGGGCAAGCGUUGUCCGGAAUUAUUGGGCGUAAAGGGUGCGUAGGCGGCCUUUUAAGUCAGGUGUGAAAGCCCCCGGCUUAACCGUGGGAGUGCAUUUGAAACUGGAAGGCUUGAGUAUCGGAGAGGGUAGUGGAAUUCCCAGUGUAGCGGUGGAAUGCGUAGAUAUUGGGAGGAACACCAGUGGCGAAGGCGACUACCCGGACGAAAACUGACGCUGAGGCACGAAAGCUAGGGGAGCAAAC
Molecule: ribosomal RNA, 405 nt
Filed under: uncultured bacterium
Lineage: Bacteria
Description: partial 16S ribosomal RNA
Rfam family: Bacterial small subunit ribosomal RNA
Source: RNAcentral